GAUGAACGCUGGCGGCGUGCUUAACACAUGCAAGUCGAACGAAGAAGCCCAGCUUGCUGGGUGGAUUAGUGGCGAACGGGUGAGUAACACGUGAGUAACCUGCCCUUAACUCUGGGAUAAGCCAGGGAAACUGGGUCUAAUACCGGAUAGGAGCGUCCACCGCAUGGUGGGUGUUGGAAAGAUUUAUCGGUUUUGGAUGGACUCGCGGCCUAUCAGCUUGGUGGUGAGGUAAUGGCUCACCAAGGCGACGACGGGUAGCCGGCCUGAGAGGGUGACCGGCCACACUGGGACUGAGACACGCACCAGUAUCCUACGGGAGGCAGCAGUGGGGAAUAUUGCGGAAUGGGCGCAAGCCUGAUGCAGCGACGCCGCGUGAGGGAUGACGGCCUUCGGGCUGUAAACCUCUUUCAGUAGGGAAGAAGCGAAAGUGACGGUACCUGCAGAAGAAGCACCGGCUAACUACGUG
Molecule: ribosomal RNA, 466 nt
Filed under: uncultured bacterium
Lineage: Bacteria
Description: partial 16S ribosomal RNA
Rfam family: Bacterial small subunit ribosomal RNA
Source: RNAcentral